GCUAGAUUAAAUUGAUGUAUGCCAUUUGAAUAACAAUAAUACUGUGACUAUGUGGGAUGGCUUUGGACACAUGUUAGCGUGAGACUCGACCGCAUCCGUCAUCCCAUCUGUCUGUAGCAUCUUUCUUUUCUUUUUUUUCUUUGCCUUCUCGUCUCUUUGUUGCUUGUGGCUCUCCACUCUCUAAUCUGGUCCGAUGCCGCAACCCCUCCUUUCCUCCGUAUCAUCCACUAGGGACAGUGGUGGCUACCAGCGAGCGGCCCCUCCUCCUUUCCUCCACGCCAUUCACUAGCGACGAUGGCGGCUACUAGUGAGCAGCCCCUCCAUUUAUCCCCUUCCUCCUUUCCUCCGCGCCUCCAUUAUCCCCGCAACUCUCCAUGCCAUCUAGAGAAGAGGGGUGACGACGAGGUUUUUCGGCGAGCCUCCCUACUUCCCGGCUUUUUAGGCGUUGUUUAGUUCCCAAAAAAUCAUGCAACAUUUUUCAGAUUUCGAGUCACAUUGAAUCUUGCGACACAUGUAUGGAGCAUUAAAUAUAAAUAAAAGAAAUAAGUAAUUGCAUAGUUUACCUG
This 566-nucleotide long non-coding RNA is filed under the name Sorghum bicolor (sorghum). Its description in RNAcentral is "long non-coding RNA (SBIC_LNC006894)". Lineage: Eukaryota; Viridiplantae; Streptophyta; Magnoliopsida; Poales; Poaceae. The record is from RNAcentral.